GCGCCCGUAGCUCAGUUGGAUAGAGCAACGGCCUUCUAAGCCGUGGGCCGCAGGUUCGAAUCCUGCCGGGCGCACCA
Molecule: transfer RNA, 77 nt
Filed under: Oryzomonas rubra
Lineage: Bacteria; Pseudomonadati; Thermodesulfobacteriota; Desulfuromonadia; Geobacterales; Geobacteraceae
Also listed under: 1 other name
Description: Geobacter sp. Red88 tRNA-Arg
Rfam family: tRNA
About the family: Transfer RNA (tRNA) molecules are approximately 80 nucleotides in length. Their secondary structure includes four short double-helical elements and three loops (D, anti-codon, and T loops).
Source: RNAcentral